AUUUAAGUAGCUUAUAUUUAGAGUUUAAUAUUGAAGAUAUUAAGGAAAUAGUCAUAUUCUUAAAUA
RNAcentral lists this transfer RNA (66 nucleotides) under Opilo sinensis. RNAcentral's name for it is "tRNA-Phe". The record is from RNAcentral. Lineage: Eukaryota; Metazoa; Arthropoda; Insecta; Coleoptera; Cleridae. RNAcentral also lists the same sequence under 1 other name.